UACGUAGGGUGCGAGCGUUGUCCGGAAUUAUUGGGCGUAAAGAGCUUGUAGGCGGUGUGUCACGUCGGCCGUGAAAACCUGCAGCUUAACUGUGGGCGUGCGGUCGAUACGGGCAUCACUGGAGUUCGGCAGGGGAGACUGGAAUUCCUGGUGUAGCGGUGAGAUGCGCAGAUAUCAGGAGGAACACCGGUGGCGAAGGCGGGUCUCUGGGCCGUAACUGACGCUGAGGAGCGAAAGCGUGGGGAGCGAACAGG
This 254-nucleotide ribosomal RNA is filed under the name uncultured bacterium. RNAcentral's name for it is "partial 16S ribosomal RNA". It matches the Rfam family "Bacterial small subunit ribosomal RNA", at positions 524 to 776 of the family's 1533-position model. The record is from RNAcentral.